UACGUAGGUGGCGAGCGUUAUCCGGAAUUAUUGGGUUUAAAGGGUGCGUAGGCGGCGAGUUAAGUCAGCGGUAAAAGCCCGGGGCUCAACCCCGGCCCGCCGUUGAAACUGACGGUCUUGAGUGGGCGAGAAGUAUGCGGAAUGCGUGGUGUAGCGGUGAAAUGCAUAGAUAUCACGCAGAACUCCGAUUGCGAAGGCAGCAUACCGGCGCCCAACUGACGCUGAAGCACGAAAGCGUGGGUAGUCGAACAGGA
Molecule: ribosomal RNA, 254 nt
Filed under: uncultured bacterium
Lineage: Bacteria
Description: partial 16S ribosomal RNA
Rfam family: Bacterial small subunit ribosomal RNA
Source: RNAcentral